RNAcentral lists this long non-coding RNA (350 nucleotides) under Struthio camelus australis. RNAcentral describes it as "lncRNA (ENSSCUG00000003386.1)". The record is from RNAcentral. Lineage: Eukaryota; Metazoa; Chordata; Aves; Struthioniformes; Struthionidae.
CUUUCAUCUGGGAAAGUACAUCUAACUCACUCAGAGUGAAAUACCACUUCAUUUAUGAAUCUGGCAUGGACAGAGUUAUAGUACAAGAUACGCUUCACAGAGGUGCCCAGAGAAGAACAUUUGAAGGAAGUAAUAGUGAUGGGGAAACGAACAAACUUCUAAGAGGUCAGACACGCAAUGAAAGUAUGUCAGCUGAAGGACAUGAGACACUCAGUGCCAUAAUAUCUUCCCUUCAAGACCCAGCCUCAUCAUCACAACUAAUACUCAGAGUCCUUCAGAUUGUUCAUCAUUCUUCAAAGUAUUUGAAAACUCUCAUCACUGUGCACAAUAUUACAACUUUCCCUGGAUAA